RNAcentral lists this ribosomal RNA (505 nucleotides) under uncultured bacterium. Its description in RNAcentral is "partial 16S ribosomal RNA". It matches the Rfam family "Bacterial small subunit ribosomal RNA", at positions 28 to 523 of the family's 1533-position model. The record is from RNAcentral.
GACGAACGCUGGCGGCGUGCUUAACACAUGCGAGUCGAACGGUAAGGCCCUUCGGGGUACACGAGUGGCGAACGGGUGAGUAACACGUGGGCAAUCUGCCCCUUUGAUCGGGACAACCCGGGGAAACCCGGGCUAAUACCGAAUGAGGUGGCGACUCAUGAGAGUCGUCACGAAAGGAAGCUUCGGCCUCCGCGAAGGGAUGAGCCCGCGGCCCAUUAUCUUGUUGGUGGGGUAAUGGCCUACCAAGGCAACGAUGGGUAGCUGGUCUGAGAGGACGAACGGCAAGACUGGGACUGAGACGCGUCCCAGACUCCUACGGGAGGCUGCAGUGGGGAAUCGUGCGCAAGGGGCGACAGCUUGACGCAGCAACGCCGCGUGAGGGAAGAAGGCUUUCGGGUCGUAAACCUCUUUCAGUUAGGACGAAGCUUUAUUGGUUAAUAACCAAUUGGAGUGACGGUACUUUCAGAAGAAGCCCCGGCUAACUACGUGCCAGCCGCCGCGGUAA